GACGAACGCUGGCGGCGUGCUUAACACAUGCAAGUCGAACGAAGUGGCGAACGGGUGAGUAACGCGUAAUCAACCUGCCCUUCAGCGGGGGACAACAGCUGGAAACGACUGCUAAUACCGCAUACUGAAGGAGGGGAUUGCGUCUGAUUAGCUUUGUGGAGGGGUAACGGCCCACCAAGGCGAUGAUCAGUAGCGGGGCUGAGAGGAUGAACGGCCACAUAGGGACUGAGCAACGGCCCAGACUCAUACGGGAGGCAGCAGUGGGGAAUCUUCCGCAAUGGACGAAAGUCUGACGGAGCAACGCCGCGUGAGUGAUGACGGCCUUCGGGGUGUAAAGCUCUGUUAAUCGGGACGCGGUACCGGAAUAGAAAGCCACGGCUAACUACGUGCCAGCCGCCGCGGUAAUAC
This 408-nucleotide ribosomal RNA is filed under the name uncultured bacterium. RNAcentral's name for it is "partial 16S ribosomal RNA". It matches the Rfam family "Bacterial small subunit ribosomal RNA", at positions 28 to 526 of the family's 1533-position model. The record is from RNAcentral.